ACAAGACAAAACAAAACAAUAAAGCAUUAGUAAAUCCCACAGAAAUAGCGCAAAUAAUUAUGUAAACAUAGGAAACAUAAAUAUCAUCGCAUGCAAUAAUAACAAACAGUAACUACCCCACUAACAACCAUAAGGGGGACAUAACUAAAACACGAAUCCUCUAUGGGUAACCCUGCUGUCCCACACCCAACCCCGGAUAAGGCGAACGAAGAAGUCUAUGAGCGAAGAACUCUAUGAGCCCCUAGCCUACAACCCUGAUUCUAGACCUCCAAACUGGGUAACCCUGCUGUCCCACACCCAACCUCGGAUGAGGCGAAUGAAGAACUCUAUGAGCGAAGAACUCUACGAGCCCCUAGCCUACAACCCCGAUUCUAGACCUCCAAACUCCCCUAUCAAGGGUCAUGUCCUCGGAAACCUGCAUUCUAGUCAUN
Molecule: long non-coding RNA, 431 nt
Filed under: Nicotiana benthamiana
Lineage: Eukaryota; Viridiplantae; Streptophyta; Magnoliopsida; Solanales; Solanaceae
Description: long non-coding RNA (NBEN_LNC040942)
Source: RNAcentral